Molecule: small nucleolar RNA, 130 nt
Organism: Otolemur garnettii (small-eared galago)
Lineage: Eukaryota; Metazoa; Chordata; Mammalia; Primates; Galagidae
Source: Ensembl
ACUCCUCAGCCUUCCUCCAAGGGCUCAUGCCUGCUGAGUGCCCUGGCAUUGUCUGAGGAUAGUCCAGCAAGCACCGUCCUCCCCAGUGAGACUCUGCUAACUUUUGGGGCCUGCUAGGUGAGCUGAUGGU